This 460-nucleotide ribosomal RNA is filed under the name uncultured bacterium. RNAcentral describes it as "partial 16S ribosomal RNA". It matches the Rfam family "Bacterial small subunit ribosomal RNA", at positions 338 to 795 of the family's 1533-position model. The record is from RNAcentral.
CCUACGGGAGGCAGCAGUGAGGAAUAUUGGUCAAUGGACGAGAGUCUGAACCAGCAAAGUAGCGUGAAGGAUGACUGCCCUAUGGGUUGUAAACUUCUUUUAUAAAGGAAUAAAACGAGGCACGUGUGCCUUUUUGCAUGUACUUUAUGAAUAAGGAUAGGCUAACUCCGUGCCAGCAGCCGCGGUAAUACGGAGGAUCCGAGCGUUAUCCGGAUUUAUUGGGUUUAAAGGGAGCGUAGAUGGGUUGUUAAGUCAGUUGUGAAAGUUUGCGGCUCAACCGUAAAAUGGCAAUUGAUACUGGCAGUCGUGAGUACAGUUGAGGUAGGCGGAAUUCGUGGUGUAGCGGUGAAAUGCUUAGAUAUCACGAAGAACCCCAAUUGCGAAGGCAGCUUACUAAACUGUGACUGACAUUGAUGCUCGAAAGUGUGGGUAUCAAACAGGAUUAGAUACCCCAGUAGUC